UGAGGAAUAUUGGUCAAUGGACGAGAGUCUGAACCAGCCAAAUCGCGUGAAGGAAGACUGCCCUACGGGUUGUAAACUUCUUUUGUACAGGAAUAAAAGACAUUACGUGUAAUGUAUUGCAUGUACUGUACGAAUAAGCAUCGGCUAACUCCGUGCCAGCAGCCGCGGUAAUACGGAGGAUGCGAGCGUUAUCCGGAUUUAUUGGGUUUAAAGGGUGCGCAGGCGGGAUUUUAAGUCAGCGGUGAAAUUUUCAGGCUCAACCUGAACACUGCCGUUGAAACUGGGAUUCUUGAGUAUGGAUGAAGUAGGCGGAAUUCGUUGUGUAGCGGUGACAUGCUUAGAUAUAACGAGGAACUCCGAUUGCGUAGGCAGCUUACUAGGCCAUAACUGACGCUCAAGCACGAAAGCGUGGGGAUCAAACA
RNAcentral lists this ribosomal RNA (422 nucleotides) under uncultured bacterium. RNAcentral's name for it is "bacterial SSU rRNA". It matches the Rfam family "Bacterial small subunit ribosomal RNA", at positions 355 to 774 of the family's 1533-position model. The record is from RNAcentral.